UUGCCGCCCCUAACGAGCAGCGCCGCUUCGAGCUCGCUGUCGUUCGAGUCAGCAACAACACCAACGCCUGCGCCGUUGCCGGCACUCAUCGGAAACGCCGCGGCCGCGCUCGCGACCUUUGACAUCCUCAAAUCCUUCUUUCCAGAUAAGUGUCACACUUAAUAUCCGUGCCACUUUACCAUUGCAGUUCAUCACUAGUUUUUCUAAGCUCUUCAAAAAAUGUUUCUGUAGAUCGAUCCUAUCCAUGACCUAUUGCUUGUGGGAUAUCUGACUGCCUCCGCUACUAAAUUGAUCACGUUUUAGAUCCCUCUUGUUGCACCAAGUGGACUCCACUACUGUUUCUUCACCUAGCAGCUCCACCAUACCUAGGUUUUUCUUUUCUUUUUCAAAUAUUUUCCAGAUCUAUAGUUGUAACCAAAUUUGAACAUUUUCUGUUUUCGAUUGCUUUGACCCGGACUUGGCUUCACCACUUGUCAAAUUGUGAAUUACACUGGUAUUUUUUGUCCACUUACACCAUUGUCAGCUCUCAAAUCGUAGUAAUCCAUAGAAGUUUCUUCAUAUUCCUUAGACCUUUGCUCAUUUAAUAAUCGCUACUCGGGCGUUCAUAGCUGGCUCGUAAUUUGAUUUGCAACUGCCAUCUCACGGACAUCAAAAUUAUUUUAUCGUCUUAUACCUCUAAAGCGCUCUUACUCAUCCUUUGAUGCUUGCUCCAUAUAUCAUAGUCGGCUUAUACUUGUUUUUCAUACCUUGUAGUUGGGCUUUAUUUGCAACUGAACUCAUGGCUCCCAAGACCAACAAAGCUGUCAACUGGGCUAAAUCCAGCAUGUCCCCACUUAUGCUGGACAACUUGGUGAACACCGGGUUGCUCCCAUCCCAAGCCGAAAUAGAAUGGCGCGCACCCGCUGAGGAGAUCCAUCCACUACGGGGUCAGAAUCAGGCCUCAAGAUCUUGGACCCAACUCAGUUUUGAAUUUAAGCCAAUUUCAAGUGUUCUGUGAAGUAUAUCUCCAGAUUGAGCCGUCUAUUAGUUUCUUCCAACAUUUUUCUAUCUCAACCAUCAAACAGAGCACAAGGGAGGACCGAGCAUAGAACUUGGAGGAGCAACCAUCCAAAGAAGGAAAAGCUCGACCUUUCCCGACGUAUCACUGGUGAGCCACUCGAAAGGAUGGCACAAGCCCAGUUUUAUUGCAAGGAUACUUCACCAGCACGGCAACAUCCUUUGUCGGGUUAUAGACUAGACCGGCUUGACGCUUCGACGAUCUUUCCAGGUGUUGGAUGAACUGGUGAAUCCAACCCCUUAGCCUAAGGGGCUGUCUUAUGCAUGAAUAUAUCGAUGAGUUGAAAGACCCUCUGCGCUUCUUCCAGGUUGACUUGACAACAUAUGAGCUCAUAAAAUUCACCAAGAAGCUUCUAUGCGAGACCCGAGGCAAAAUUGGCCUUGUAGGCUUGGCCCUCUUCUUUGCACGCAACCCGGCACAUCCAUCUGUAUAUACAGGAUAUGCCGAACAAAACCGAGUCACAGGUGGCCGGCUUAUAGAAAGACCAGGAAGAAAUGAAGCUUCGAGAAGAGGCAGAAAGCUUGUCUUCAGAUUUCCAAAGGUCCGUUCUUCUGUCACAGACACAUAGAAAAAACCAAGGCUAACUUUGAGCAAGAAAAAGGCCGCCUUAUUGAAACGCAUAGAGGAGGCCGAGUUGAAACUCCAGCCGGUGACCCAAGAACUGCAGAGACUUAAGGGUCACAUUACUGACAUGUGCAUAGCCAUCUUUGGAAAAAAACAUCAUAAUGUGUUGGAACUCCCUCCUGUGAAGCUGAAGGCCGUUUAUAAAUUUCUGGAACAGCUAUAUGUGGGUGGUGCUAAGUGUGUAAUGUCAAUCAACAACACCAAGGAGCCACCUCACCAUAUUACGGAUAUGAUCAGGGAAUUGUCCACUUUCCAGAAUGGAUCCAGGAGUUGAAGAAGGAGGCUUGCCGGCAAGGGGCUACGUGCUCACUCGCACGUGCGAAGGCUUAUCACCCGGAGAUGGAACUAACUCUUCUAGAUGAUGGGUUCCCAGAAUUCAGCGUAGACAACUCACUUUUUUACUGAAAAGGACUAUCUAUGCUGUGUGAAGGAGAGCCGAGUAGCAGCAACGAGGAUUGCAGAAACAUUGGAUCUAACCAAAUUUCAAGCCGGCUAUUCUAAAGCCGAGAAACGCAGAGAUCUGCCCAAGCCAUAACCCGUCGUGCUGAUUCCUCCACGUAAGUAAUCUUUUGCCUCCGACGUCGGCACUUCGACUUUGAUCAAGGAAGACAUGGUGUUUGAAGCUCUGUCUUCAAUUCAGUGGGUGGAAGAUGACCCCCAAACUUAAGGAGCAGAACAGGCGGCCCCUAAAAUGCCGGAAGAGUCAACACAUGCUGACCCGGCUUCAACUAGUGUAGAGGGAGAUCAAGUCAACGUCAACCCGGAGGUCUCCACCACCGGCUUACAACAGUGAGCUUCUUCAAUUGUGAUGGUUGCGUUGAAAAACAUGGUGAAAAUAGCCUGGAUGUGGCUUUGUAAUUUUUGGGUGUGAGAAAAACUCCCAUGUUGUUGCAAUGCCAUCGUGCAUUGAAUACUUCACC
This is a long non-coding RNA of Triticum aestivum (bread wheat), 2601 nucleotides long. RefSeq lists it as uncharacterized. NCBI's taxonomy places the organism in Eukaryota, Viridiplantae, Streptophyta, Magnoliopsida, Poales, Poaceae. The record is from RefSeq and is a predicted model, not a curated record. The transcript has 4 exons.